Long non-coding RNA from Saimiri boliviensis boliviensis (Bolivian squirrel monkey), 1892 nucleotides. RefSeq lists it as uncharacterized. The record is from RefSeq and is a predicted model, not a curated record. NCBI's taxonomy places the organism in Eukaryota, Metazoa, Chordata, Mammalia, Primates, Cebidae.
GUAACAGCUAAUAUGUUAGAAGUUCUUACAAAAAAAUAUUUGUUAUUAUGAAUGCUUUAUCAGAUCUGGCUUUUUGUUGUUGUUGUUGUUGUUUUCUGCAGGGGCAGGAUGAGGCACAGGAUGCGUUCUUUCCUUUUCCCCUCUCCCAUAUUAGAAGGUUUCUCAGCUGUUCUCUAAAUAGCUUUCUUUGGACCAUCCCCACAGUAACCAUAUCCAUGUGAACCCCAGAAGUGAAUGCUGCCUGAGCUAAUUCUCAAGAUUUUCAGUGCUUCUCCCUAGUCUACCACCUCAGUAAUCAACUUCUGCCAGCCCUGACCCAGCACAUCUGUCUUCAUAUGCCUGUGCCACAGCAAUGGGCCCCACUUACCAUCCAGCUGAAAUUCCCGGAAGUACAUUUAAGAAAUAGGCAAUCAAGAAAAAAGGAUAUACGGCAGUCUAAAGACAAGUGUCAAACAGAUAAAAGAGGAGGGAGAUAGCUACCAUGUCAGAAAGCUGCCCUUGGAGAGGGAAUCCAACUGCCCUGUCUUGAUGAUACUCAGGUAGCCUAUGCAGAAGUCUAAGCAGCAAGAAAACAAAGCCUGCCAGCAACCACGUCUAAAGAAGAUGAGUGGGAAUGAGGAGACCAAGAGAAGAAAGAAGAAUUCAAGAGGGAGUGCUGGCCCAGAAGCCAAAUGAAGACAAUAUUUAAAGAAGGUGGGAGUGAUCGUGAUCUACACUCAAAUGCUCCAGAUACUCACAACUCAACAUAGGUAAUACAUGCUCCCCAUUAAGACAGCUGCCCAAACUUGUCAUUGGAUAUGCCUGCCUAUCCUUCACAAUACAGGAUCAAAAAGUUCAUGUGGUCUGAAAAGUUUGGACUUUCUCCUGAAGAUGAUGGGGAACUACUGGAGGUUUAAGAUCAGGGUUAUAUAAUACAAUGCAGUCUGUCCCUAAUGGGCAAUAUGAAUUAACGAAGAAGGACACUAAGGCAGGUCAUUAUUAGAAUAUAACAGAAUAAUAGGGCAACAGAUUUUUAAAAGUAAAUAAGGUUUAAGGUGAAUAAUGUGUGUGUCAGCUAUGAAAAUGCAACUAUCACAACUGUCAACAAUUUGAACGAAUGAAAUGUACUAGUUUGGGAUAAAACACAUUGUAUUUAGGUUAGCUGAUGACACAGAACUGGGACUUGGAGAGAGAAAGUAUAAACAUAAGUACACAGAAAAAGAGUUAAAAUUGUGGUACAGAAUCGUAUCACCAAAGAAAACAACAGAGAGAAUAGAACACCAAGGACUAAGUCAGCAUGGGAACACCCAUAGUUAGCAGAAUGCCAGGGAAGAAAAGUGAGGUUCAGAUUUUAGCCAAUAAGUGGACAUUAGAAGGCUGAUUUCCAUCAUAAAGCUUCUUAAAUGGUGUUACCCAAGAAACAAUAACUCUUAUUUCACCUUCCUUCACCCUGGAGCUAAUAUUCAAACCAGCUUUGGCAGGCUCAGUUCAUUGCUGGUACUAUACCAGAACUCCACUCUAAUAAUAUUUUUGAAGACUUGUCUUCUAAUGAGAUGUUUUCCAUAGUUCACUAACUGCAGUUUCCUGAAAUGGGGCUAAUGCACCUUGCUUUGGGCUGAAAUAAGGUUGUAGUGUGAUUCCAGUAUUUGUCAAUACAUUAAUAGUUUGCAUGGCAGUUAAUACAGACAGUGCCUCAAAUAAACUGGUUUAACAAACAGAUGUUGAAGAAAUAAAUGACUGAUUGGACAUGCAAAAAUUUAAUCCUAUACAAACUGGGUACAGACAAAUGAAUAUUGAAUAAAAAUUCUUAAUGACAAUAAUAUUGUAGGAGUUGGCAAAUAGAUACAAUCACAAAGAUUCAGUAGUGUAAAUUUCCCUAAGCAAUACCAUUCUGAACCAAUAAAGAUUUAGCA